Molecule: non-coding RNA, 962 nt
Organism: Saimiri boliviensis boliviensis (Bolivian squirrel monkey)
Lineage: Eukaryota; Metazoa; Chordata; Mammalia; Primates; Cebidae
Source: RefSeq, a predicted model, not a curated record
ACUGUGCAUUUUAUGUAAGAAUUCAACAAUUGGGAGAGAAUUUUCUACAAUAGCGAGUGCGGUCACUCCGGGAACUCAUCUGUCCCAGCAAAGGCGAGUAGGCAGGCGCGCGCGCUGGCAAACCGCAGGGAGGGGCACCCGGCUUUCCCUCCUCCUGCUUCACCGAGAUCACUACCGGGGGCCCCUGGAAGCGACGGUCCCCAGGACACUCCGGGAGCCGGCUGGGUCUCGAGGGGUCGCUCCGCCCGGAGGCUCUCCAGGCCCCUGCGCAUGGCAGCCCUGGCCUCUCAGCCCCGGGCGCAAGCCCCCGAGUGGUGAGGCCCUCCCCACCGAGGUGAUUUCUACCCAGCGGCGAGCAGAGUCCUCGAGGACGGCAAGGCACCUCGCGCUGCCGUUGGGGGCGCACCGCACAGAGCUGGGGCGGAAGCUAGAGGGGAAAGGCGGUGAUGUUGAGUGAGAACCAGCCGAGUCUUUUCCAAACAUCCAUUUAAUCUUGCGUUCCUCUGGGUAUAAUGUCGUAACGUGAGUACAGGUUACUUCAUCCUGGCCUGGGUACAGCAGCUCCAAAGCGUGGGGAUUCUGUUGACUGAGAAGGCCCACAGCUUGAGAGCCAUGUGACUCAGUGAGAGGCCCUGCCUCAGCAGAAGCUCUGAGGGAGAAGCCACAAACAUGCUGGAGACAACAUGGCACAAGGAGGAAAGCCCUGGAGAGCACAAAAGAUCAGCUUUCAAAACAGGCAAAAAGAAUGAUUGCUCAGCAGUCACUGUGAAAUUUUGUGGGCAACAAGUUAAGUGUACAGACAUGAUCCUUGAUUUAGAGUCAACCUGAUCUCUCCACUACAGCUGUGAAAAUCUUGCUUUCAGCAAAUAGUUUAGGGAGAACUAUCAAGAGUGGUACAAAACUGCAGGUCACUGUGCUGGCCACCAGGUACUCCCAUCCAACAGAAGCUGGCUGCCGUACUC